GAUGAAGAACGCAGCGAAAUGCGAUACGUAGUGUGAAUUGCAGAAUUCCGUGAACCAUCAAAUCUUUGAGCGCAUAUUGCGCUCGAGGCUUCGGCCGAGAGCAUGUCUGCCUCAGCGUCGGUAUUACCCCUCGCUUCUCAACCCCUGGUUGAUGCCUGCCUGCCUUUGCAGUUGGCUAGAAGUGGAUCUGGCUUUCCCAAUUGCCUUUGGUAGUUGGGUCAGCUGAAGCACAGAGGCUUGAGCAAGGACCCUUAUUGGGCUUCAACUGGAUAGGUAGAACUGGUCUUAGGACCAACUACACGAAGUUGUUGCUUGUGGUCUUUGUCUGGAGGCCAGCAGGAAGCCUUUAUACCUUCGACCUGAGCUCAGGCAAGAUUACCCGCUGAACUUAAGCAUAUCAAUAAGCGGAGGA
RNAcentral lists this unclassified non-coding RNA (412 nucleotides) under soil metagenome. RNAcentral describes it as "partial contains 5.8S ribosomal RNA, internal transcribed spacer 2, and large subunit ribosomal RNA". The stretch from base 1 to 120 matches the Rfam family "5.8S ribosomal RNA", at positions 35 to 154 of the family's 154-position model. The record is from RNAcentral.